CCUACGGGAGGCAGCAGUAAGGAAUAUUGGUCAAUGGAGGCAACUCUGAACCAGCCAUGCCGCGUGCAGGAAGAAGGCCCUAUGGGUCGUAAACUGCUUUUGUACCAGAGAAAACCCGAGUACGUGUACUCGGUUGAUAGUAUGGUAAGAAUAAGCAUCGGCUAACUUCGUGCCAGCAGCCGCGGUAAGACGAAGGAUGCAAGCGUUAUCCGGAUUCAUUGGGUUUAAAGGGUGCGUAGGCGGACUGAUAAGUCAGUGGUGAAAUCUCUCAGCUUAACUGAGAAACUGCCAUUGAUACUGUUAGUCUAGAGUAUAGAUGACGUUGGCGGAAUAUGACAUGUAGUGGUGAAAUACUUAGAUAUGUCAUAGAACACCGAUUGCGAAGGCAGCUAACGAAACUAUAACUGACGCUGAGGCACGAAAGUGCGGGGAUCAAACAGGAUUAGAUACCCUGGUAGUCCGCACCGUAAACGAUGAUUACUCGUUGUUGGCAAUAUGACCGUCAGCGACCAAGCGAAAGCGAUAAGUAAUCCACCUGGGGAGUACGCCGGCAACGGUGAAACUCAAAUGAAUUGACGGCUGAGGACGNGCGAGGCGACACGAGGGGAGGAGG
Molecule: ribosomal RNA, 613 nt
Filed under: uncultured bacterium
Lineage: Bacteria
Description: bacterial SSU rRNA
Rfam family: Bacterial small subunit ribosomal RNA
Source: RNAcentral